This is a long non-coding RNA of Drosophila sechellia, 3118 nucleotides long. RefSeq lists it as uncharacterized. The record is from RefSeq and is a predicted model, not a curated record. The transcript is spliced from 2 exons. Lineage: Eukaryota; Metazoa; Arthropoda; Insecta; Diptera; Drosophilidae.
UAAAAACAAAGAUAUUCAUGUUAUUUCAAAUGUUGUUAUUAAAUAGAUGAACUUUAAGUUUAAAUUAUUUUACAACAAUUUAUUAGAAUAUAUAUCUAAUUUAAGAUUGUUACUGAAAGAAAAUAUCCCAAAUAUAUAUUUAUUUAUAAUAUCCAAUUCUAUAUUUUGAACUAAACUAUUAAGCUAACUAUUUGCAAUAAUUGCCUUUUUAAAAUAAUUUACAAAACGAAACUUUGUUAACUAAGACUUACUUCCCUGUUAUUUAUUAUAGAUAAUUACAAUUAUUAUAAGUAAGUAUAACUCAGCUAAACAUUACAAAGUAAAAUUAAGUUAUUUCCCUGAUUUUAAUUACCGAUUUAACUCAGUGAACGAAAAUGCAUGUAAAUGAAAUUUAAUUUAAAACGAAGUCAUAGUUAUCUUAAAUUGUGAUCGCUUAAAUGCAUUUAAGUAAUUUAUAGAUGCGAUAUAUCAAUUAAUCGAACUGCAUUUUUUGGCUGUCCGUGAGCGAAAUAAUGGGCUAAAAUGGCCAAGUGGCUAAGUGAGCGCUGCCAGUUAGCCAGCUAGCCAGUUAGCCAGAUUUCUUCACGGCUGACACCACCGCCACUAAUUGGCCGGUUGCCCUUGGUCGUUGGCGAUUGUGCAAUCCGAAAUGUUAAAAUUCAUCGAACUCUCAAGGGUCAGCGCAGUUUACUGGACCACCACCUCCGCCAUGUCACUCGAGCAUACAAACAUACAUAUGUAUAUCUAUGCAUACCAAUUAAUCCCACUUGACUCUUGGCUGCACAAUGUCAGGCGAAUGGACUGGGGAACUGGAUAUAGCGAUGGCGACCAGGGUGCAAUGCCUUGCGUGGGCUACUUCGCUAGUUGGAAGCAGCUGCCCACAGCCGAUUGCCGCGAUCGAUUGGCUAAUCCCAAUCCCGGCCAGAGAUGCUGGCAUUUCCGCGUAUUUUUUUCUUACACAGUUCCAUUGACCGUGACCCAAAAUCCGCCGGCUAACUGACUGAUCGUUAAAAAUCCCAGACGAAGGUCGAGAGAAAGAUGCGCAAGGCUGCGGAGCAACCGCCCAGUAAUUGCGGAUCGGAUGACAGCUGGCUGGCCGGAUUGGAUGGUCCAACUAUUUUUUGGUCAACAAACUGUUUAUGACCAGUUUGUUCACUUUCAUGGCCUUCACACAGUUUCCAACGCAAUCGAUCCGCUGCGAUGUCCAUCGCUGAUGUAAAAUAAAUUGAACGUAUGGAAUUGCCCUGCUUUGAAUACGUUCAAUAUGGGAAUGGGUAUGGGUAUUGUUUAUAUGGUAUGAAAGUUUCGGGCUUUGGUAACUCGAUCAUUUAUGGGCCAUGCGAAGCCAUGACGUGCUGAAGAUGUCCGCCGUCCACUUGUCCACUCAUCCACUUGGGGAGCAGUGAAACAUGCGAUUUGUAAUUUCGUUAUCGUUUCUGUUGCGUCCGUUUUCCGCUCCGCCAAUUAGCCCGUUGGUGUUACAUCAUAUCAUACCGCAGCAUAAAAGCUGGCAAACCGAAGUACCAACCGUCUUACCAUGUCGCCAACUUUUGGUAAGAGUAAAGAGUGCAGCCGGCGAGAAAUGCUCAAAACAGGUUUUCCCAUCCCACCACUCGAACCGAUCCACUCCCAUUACACGGCGAGAAAUGACUGACAUCCGGUCCAUUGGGAUCUUCAGCAAUUGAAAGCUGCAUUCACUCAAAUAACUCAGAAUAUCAUCGAUAGGAAAGCGGUACUAUCCUUACAUGAUGAUCUAGUUAAGAUCUAUAAAAUGUUACGGAACCCUAAUAAUCAAAAGUUCAUAAUAUCUACUAACUUAUGAUCUUAUUAUCAAUAAUACCUUAUAAUCUUAGGUAAAUCCCACUUUUGAAUACAUUUUGUUUGGCACAACAGCUAACAAUUAAUCAUCGAAUGACUUGUAUUUUUCAUUCAUUCCUCAUUAUCCACGAAUAUGAUUAGUUCAGAUUCAAGAGCAAGGCUUUUUCGCGCAAGUUACCCCCUAAUUUCUCGCCGUGCACUUGCCCAAUCCCACCCCAUGACCGUGCACAUUGGCAAUAUUGGUUUGCUUUGACUCAAUUUCGAAUUUCGAAUGGGCAAACAGUUGAGUUUACGAUUUGGCGGCGAUUUGCAUCUGCCUUUCCGGAUUAUCAUGCAGAUUGCAUUUUGCCACAAUUACGACAAUAGUUCGCUAAUGUUCCCCGGAUGAGUAGCGCUUUAUAUUCAUGUGUGUCAGAAUCUAAUGGCACUGAUUACAGGGCGGAAUUCAUUAGCCAGGCUAACCACGUUCGCCACCCAAGGCUUUUGUGGCCCAUUCCGUUGCGUUGGUCAAGGCAGCGCCUUUAAAACUCCAUUCCGCUGCACUUGUAACUGACUAAAAACUCAUAAACUGGAAAACUGGCCAUCCACUAGACAUAUGGCACCCAGAAUUACCGACGAGGUCGUGGCUGUUGGUCAAAGGAAACCGUCACGUCGAUGGCUUUGUCCCUGGCAAUUGCACAAUAGCCACUUGCCAUGAAUAUUUAUAUGCGAACCGCACAAAUUGCAUUGCAUUGAGUACGUUUUCCAACCAAACAACAUAGCCGACCAACUUGGCUUUUACGGUAUUGGCCAACAUGGGCUGUCGGCCGAGAAGACCUUGUGCGCCCGGGCCCGUCUUGUGGUGGGCAAUUAGCCAGCAAACAGAAUUACAAAACUCUCGAAGAGCUGCUAACUAUUGGCCGUUAAAUAAUUGACUUGAGCGAAGCACUUGCAGUGGGUCAAUAAAGCACAAUUAAAAGGCUCUAAACUAAAAACUAUACGAUUUUCGUUUGGCUACACCCACGCACCUAGUUUAGAGCAAUCAACUAAGGUGUGCAAGUGCUACACUGGGAGAAAUUCACGGGGCUUAGAAAUGGAGCUAGCAAAAUAUUUCAAAAAUAUCUUUAACUUUAUACAUUAAAAAUAGUUUGAAUUUAACUAACUUAAAUAACAUUUUAAUCUCUUGCUAAGAAAAUAGCUGUUCUUAAUUAUACCUAUUAAUCGAAUCUAUCUAUAAGAUACGAAAACAUCUGUGACCCAAUCUAAUUUUGCAUAUUUACCAAAUAUAAACCUAGGUUAACAUGGCAUACUAUCACUUAAA